GGGUUGUGAGGUUAAGCGACUAAGCGUACACGGUGGAUGCCCUGGCAGUCAGAGGCGAUGAAGGACGUGCUAAUCUGCGAAAAGCGUCGGUAAGGUGAUAUGAACCGUUAUAACCGGCGAUGUCCGAAUGGGGAAACCCAGUGCAAUUCGUUGCACUAUCGUUAACUGAAUACAUAGGUUAACGAGGCGAACCGGGGGAACUGAAACAUCUAAGUACCCCGAGGAAAAGAAAUCAACCGAGAUUCCCCCAGUAGCGGCGAGCGAACGGGGAGCAGCCCAGAGUCUGAAUCAGCUUGUGUGUUAGUGGAACGGUCUGGAAAGUCCGACGGUACAGGGUGAUAGUCCCGUACACCAAAAUGCACAGGUUGUGAACUCGAAGAGUAGGGCGGGACACGUGGUAUCCUGUCUGAAUAUGGGGGGACCAUCCUCCAAGGCUAAAUACUCCUGACUGACCGAUAGUGAACCAGUACCGUGAGGGAAAGGCGAAAAGAACCCCGGCGAGGGGAGUGAAAAAGAACCUGAAACCGUGUACGUACAAGCAGUGGGAGCACCUUCGGGUGUGACUGCGUACCUUUUGUAUAAUGGGUCAGCGACUUAUAUUCUGUAGCAAGGUUAACCGUAUAGGGGAGCCGCAGGGAAACCGAGUCUUAACUGGGCGUUAAGUUGCAGGGUAUAGACCCGAAACCCGGUGAUCUAGCCAUGGGCAGGUUGAAGGUUGGGUAACACUAACUGGAGGACCGAACCGACUAAUGUUGAAAAAUUAGCGGAUGACUUGUGGCUGGGGGUGAAAGGCCAAUCAAACCGGGAGAUAGCUGGUUCUCCCCGAAAGCUAUUUAGGUAGCGCCUCGUGAACUCAUCUUCGGGGGUAGAGCACUGUUUCGGCUAGGGGGUCAUCCCGACUUACCAACCCGAUGCAAACUACGAAUACCGAAGAAUGUUAUCACGGGAGACACACGGCGGGUGCUAACGUCCGUCGUGAAGAGGGAAACAACCCAGACCGCCAGCUAAGGUCCCAAAGUCAUGGUUAAGUGGGAAACGAUGUGGGAAGGCACAGACAGCCAGGAUGUUGGCUUAGAAGCAGCCAUCAUUUAAAGAAAGCGUAAUAGCUCACUGGUCGAGUCGGCCUGCGCGGAAGAUGUAACGGGGCUAAACCAUGCACCGAAGCUGCGGCAGCGACACUAUGUGUUGUUGGGUAGGGGAGCGUUCUGUAAGCCUGCGAAGGUGACCUGUGAGGGUUGCUGGAGGUAUCAGAAGUGCGAAUGCUGACAUAAGUAACGAUAAAGCGGGUGAAAAGCCCGCUCGCCGGAAGACCAAGGGUUCCUGUCCAACGUUAAUCGGGGCAGGGUGAGUCGACCCCUAAGGCGAGGCCGAAAGGCGUAGUCGAUGGGAAACAGGUUAAUAUUCCUGUACUUGGUGUUACUGCGAAGGGGGGACGGAGAAGGCUAUGUUAGCCGGGCGACGGUUGUCCCGGUUUAAGCAUGUAGGCUGGUUAUCCAGGCAAAUCCGGAUAAUCAAGGCUGAGGUGUGAUGACGAGGCACUACGGUGCUGAAGUAACAAAUGCCCUGCUUCCAGGAAAAGCCUCUAAGCAUCAGGUAACAUCAAAUCGUACCCCAAACCGACACAGGUGGUCAGGUAGAGAAUACCAAGGCGCUUGAGAGAACUCGGGUGAAGGAACUAGGCAAAAUGGUGCCGUAACUUCGGGAGAAGGCACGCUGGUGUGUAGGUGAAGUCCCUGCGGAUGGAGCUGAGACCAGUCGAAGAUACCAGCUGGCUGCAACUGUUUAUUAAAAACACAGCACUGUGCAAACACGAAAGUGGACGUAUACGGUGUGACGCCUGCCCGGUGCCGGAAGGUUAAUUGAUGGGGUUAUCCGUAAGGAGAAGCUCUUGAUCGAAGCCCCGGUAAACGGCGGCCGUAACUAUAACGGUCCUAAGGUAGCGAAAUUCCUUGUCGGGUAAGUUCCGACCUGCACGAAUGGCGUAAUGAUGGCCAGGCUGUCUCCACCCGAGACUCAGUGAAAUUGAACUCGCUGUGAAGAUGCAGUGUACCCGCGGCAAGACGGAAAGACCCCGUGAACCUUUACUAUAGCUUGACACUGAACAUUGAGCCUUGAUGUGUAGGAUAGGUGGGAGGCUUUGAAGCGUGGACGCCAGUCUGCGUGGAGCCAACCUUGAA
Molecule: ribosomal RNA, 2177 nt
Filed under: Klebsiella pneumoniae
Lineage: Bacteria; Pseudomonadati; Pseudomonadota; Gammaproteobacteria; Enterobacterales; Enterobacteriaceae
Description: bacterial LSU rRNA
Rfam family: Bacterial large subunit ribosomal RNA
Source: RNAcentral